This 683-nucleotide ribosomal RNA is filed under the name uncultured Arenimonas sp. RNAcentral's name for it is "bacterial SSU rRNA". It matches the Rfam family "Bacterial small subunit ribosomal RNA", at positions 60 to 732 of the family's 1533-position model. Lineage: Bacteria; Pseudomonadati; Pseudomonadota; Gammaproteobacteria; Lysobacterales; Lysobacteraceae. The record is from RNAcentral.
AGUCGAACGGCAGCGGGUCAGUAGCAAUACUGAUGCCGGCGAGUGGCGGACGGGUGAGGAAUACAUCGGAAUCUACCUUGUCGUGGGGGAUAACGUAGGGAAACUUACGCUAAUACCGCAUACGAACUAUGGUUGAAAGCGGCGGACCGCAAGGCGUCGCGCGAUUGGAUGAGCCGAUGUCCGAUUAGCUAGUUGGCGGGGUAAAGGCCCACCAAGGCGACGAUCGGUAGCUGGUCUGAGAGGAUGAUCAGCCACACUGGAACUGAGACACGGUCCAGACUCCUACGGGAGGCAGCAGUGGGGAAUAUUGGACAAUGGGCGCAAGCCUGAUCCAGCCAUGCCGCGUGUGUGAAGAAGGCCUUCGGGUUGUAAAGCACUUUUGUUGGGGAAGGAAAGCCGCUGGUUAAUACCUGGUGGUCAUGACGGUACCCAAAGAAUAAGCACCGGCUAACUUCGUGCCAGCAGCCGCGGUAAUACGAAGGGUGCAAGCGUUACUCGGAAUUACUGGGCGUAAAGCGUGCGUAGGUGGUGAGUUAAGUCUGUCGUGAAAGCCCCGGGCUCAACCUGGGAAUGGCGAUGGAUACUGGCUCGCUAGAGUGCGGUAGAGGAGAGUGGAAUUCCCGGUGUAGCAGUGAAAUGCGUAGAGAUCGGGAGGAACAUCAGUUGCGAAGGCGGCUCUCUGG